CAUUUGUUAGCACACAUGGGCCUGUGGAGCCCAGUCCCAGGCAACAGUGUCCCCAGAGCCCCAGUGAUGGCUGGGUUGGGUCUGGGGCACUCCCAGGGAGCCCCCCAAGGUCUGCACGAUGGGAAGACUGACAGGUCCUCAGGACCAGGCCGCAGAGGGGCGGAGGACCAGGCUCCCUGGGCUCCUGGGUGGGGCUCCCCUGACUGCUGGCUCUCCCCACAGGUGGAACGUCCUGGGGCUGCAGGGCGCGCUCCUGUCCCACUUCGUGGAGCCCGUGUACCUGCAGAGCAUCGUGGUGGGCAGCCUGCACCACACGGGCCACCUCGCACGCGUCAUGAGCCACCGCAUGGAGGGUGUCGGCCAGCUGCCCGCCUCCUACCGGCACAACCGGCCUCUCCUCAGCGCGGUGUCUGAAGGAGUUCUGAAAACAGAAUCACUAGUGUUGGGCUCACCCAAGAGGCCCCACCUGCCCACCUGGCUGCCCACCUGCCCACCUGCCCGCCCACAGGAGGCGAUGCUGAGGAAGAGCCAGGUGGGCGAGGAGGGGCGGGGGGGCGCCAAGGUCACGUGGCCAGAGCGGAGAGCGGGUCUUCGGAACCCAGGGCCCCGGGCCCUCCACACCCUCCAGAGGCUGCAAGGUGACUCCGCGAGUACUGAGCCGGCUCCGCACCAGGAUUCCCC
RNAcentral lists this small RNA (681 nucleotides) under Pan troglodytes (chimpanzee). RNAcentral describes it as "processed transcript". The record is from RNAcentral. Lineage: Eukaryota; Metazoa; Chordata; Mammalia; Primates; Hominidae.